Molecule: ribosomal RNA, 1155 nt
Filed under: Proteus mirabilis
Lineage: Bacteria; Pseudomonadati; Pseudomonadota; Gammaproteobacteria; Enterobacterales; Morganellaceae
Description: partial 23S ribosomal RNA
Rfam family: Bacterial large subunit ribosomal RNA
Source: RNAcentral
CGAAGAUACCAGCUGGCUGCAACUGUUUAUUAAAAACACAGCACUGUGCAAACACGAAAGUGGACGUAUACGGUGUGACGCCUGCCCGGUGCUGGAAGGUUAAUUGAUGGGGUCAGCCGUAAGGCGAAGCUCCUGAUCGAAGCCCCAGUAAACGGCGGCCGUAACUAUAACGGUCCUAAGGUAGCGAAAUUCCUUGUCGGGUAAGUUCCGACCUGCACGAAUGGCGUAAUGAUGGCCAGGCUGUCUCCACCCGAGACUCAGUGAAAUUGAACUCGCUGUGAAGAUGCAGUGUACCCGCGGCAAGACGGAAAGACCCCGUGAACCUUUACUAUAGCUUGACACUGAACAUUGAGCCUUGAUGUGUAGGAUAGGUGGGAGGCUUUGAAGUGUGGACGCCAGUCUGCAUGGAGCCAACCUUGAAAUACCACCCUUUAACGUUUGAUGUUCUAACCUAGGCCCAUAAACUGGGUCGGGGACCGUGUCUGGUGGGUAGUUUGACUGGGGCGGUCUCCUCCUAAAGAGUAACGGAGGAGCACGAAGGUUGGCUAAGCAUGGUCGGACAUCAUGCGGUUAGUGCAAAGGCAUAAGCCAGCUUGACUGCGAGAGUGACGGCUCGAGCAGGUACGAAAGUAGGUCUUAGUGAUCCGGUGGUUCUGAAUGGAAGGGCCAUCGCUCAACGGAUAAAAGGUACUCCGGGGAUAACAGGCUGAUACCGCCCAAGAGUUCAUAUCGACGGCGGUGUUUGGCACCUCGAUGUCGGCUCAUCACAUCCUGGGGCUGAAGUAGGUCCCAAGGGUAUGGCUGUUCGCCAUUUAAAGUGGUACGCGAGCUGGGUUUAGAACGUCGUGAGACAGUUCGGUCCCUAUCUGCCGUGGGCGUUGGAAGAUUGAGAGGGGUUGCUCCUAGUACGAGAGGACCGGAGUGAACGCACCACUGGUGUUCGGGUUGUCAUGCCAAUGGCAUUGCCCGGUAGCUAAGUGCGGAAGAGAUAACCGCUGAAAGCAUCUAAGCGGGAAACUUGCCUCGAGAUGAGUCUUCCCUGUCGCUUUAAGCGACCUAAAGGAACGUUUAAGACUAAGACGUUGAUAGGCUGGGUGUGUAAGCGUAGCGAUACGUUGAGCUAACCAGUACUAAUGAACCGUGAGGCUUAACCUG